Molecule: ribosomal RNA, 253 nt
Filed under: uncultured bacterium
Lineage: Bacteria
Description: partial 16S ribosomal RNA
Rfam family: Bacterial small subunit ribosomal RNA
Source: RNAcentral
UACGAAGGGGGCUAGCGUUGCUCGGAAUUACUGGGCGUAAAGGGCGCGUAGGCGGACAGUUUAGUCAGAGGUGAAAGCCCAGGGCUCAACCUUGGAACUGCCUUUGAUACUGGCUGUCUUGAGUUCGGGAGAGGUGAGUGGAAUGCCGAGUGUAGAGGUGAAAUUCGUAGAUAUUCGCAAGAACACCAGUGGCGAAGGCGGCUCACUGGCCCGGUACUGACGCUGAGGUGCGAAAGCGUGGGGAGCAAACAGG